This is a long non-coding RNA of Peromyscus eremicus (cactus mouse), 2087 nucleotides long. RefSeq lists it as uncharacterized. The transcript has 5 exons. The record is from RefSeq and is a predicted model, not a curated record. NCBI's taxonomy places the organism in Eukaryota, Metazoa, Chordata, Mammalia, Rodentia, Cricetidae.
CCGGCUGUGUGACUGUCAACCGCAGCUUGCUGGGAGAAACUUUACACGCAGGAGACAGAGGCUGGAGGAUCUCUGUGAGUUCGGGGGCAGCCUGAUCUACACAGCGAGCUCCAGGACUACAGAGAGAGACUCUGUCUCAAACUAAACAAAACAAAAAACCGACCCAGGAAGCGUAUCAGAGAAUCCAGCGAAUGAGCGAAUGAGCUUGCAUCAGAGUAAGUUCUCAAACAGACCGAAUUAAAACUCGGAAGAUUUGCCUUUGGUGGCUCUCUCCUGCGGUCGCGCACAAAGGAGGAAAUUACUUGGUCUCAAAAAGGAUGAAACGUGGGCCAGUGAUACAGUUCAGAGGAACAGCAGUCAAUGAAGGGCCGAAACAGGACUGUGAAAGGGCUGGAAGCUGGGGAAGGCUCAUCUCAGAGAUUAUGAAAUAGCAUGUGCACUGCUGUGUCAGCCAAGUUUCUCCAGAGGAACAGAACCAAUAGGAAGUGUGAGAGGUUUAUCUCAAGGACUUGGCCAAGCAGCAAUAUGCAGAGAAGACAACAGGAGAGAACCCGCAUUACAGCUGGAAUCUGAGGCGUCCAGCAGAGGGUGUGGCCCAGAUUAAAGGUGUGCCUUCCCACCUCAAGAUCUGGAUUAAAGGCGUGUGCCAUCUCACUUCAGGAUCAAAAGAGUGUCUUCUAGCCUUAAGAUUGGGAUUAAAGGCAUGGUGGUCUUCCUGCCUCAACAACCGGAUGACAAGUGUGCCCUCCAUUUCUGGAUUGUAGCUCAUUCCAGGGAUAGUCAAGGUGACAACCAAGAAUAGUCGCACUAGUGGCAGGUGAGAAGCCACUGAACCUCAGAGAGGUUGGUUAACUGAUUAGAAUGACAAUGGCCAGGGAGAGGCUGGAGUGUUGCAUGUCCAGAGUCCAAUUACAAUGUAUCUCAGGCUAUCUUCAGCCCCCUUAGGACUCAGUAUCUGCCUAACAUCUUUAUGACUAACUGAUGAAAACCCUUUGAACUGUAUUCACUUAACAGAUCACUAGCUUUGCUAACCAAAUGGCUGAGUGUCAUGGAUAAUAUCUGCGGUCCAUAAAAGAGAGACUCCCUGCCCCUCACAUACAUGUACCUUGCUUUAACAUCCCUACCUAAUGUCUUAACGUGUAUUUUAAAAGUGGCUAGCUGGACUUAGGUCUAUGUUCAUUACCAUAAAAGAUUCAUCAGACUGUUACCACACUGGAACAUGUAAUUUGGGGUAUCCUGGAGCUGUGUUCCAUAGUUAUUCAUAUUUGGCUCCUGAAUAAGCUACCUCUUAUCACCUUAGAGGUGAGGGUUGUGUCUUUACAGUGACAAAAGUCAUAUGACACUCUGCAACCAGAGUGGGGACAACCAGACUCAGCUGCAGAGGCAAAUGAUGGUUCUGAGACAGAGGCAGGCAGGUCUCUGAGUUUGAGGCCAGCCUGGUUUACAGAGUGAGUUCCAGGAUAGCCAGGGCUACACAGAGAAACCUUGUCUUGAAAAACAUACACAAAACCCCUAUUUCCUGAGGCAGACCCAGGACCAGGACGUUAAAAUGAGCUUCCAGAUAUAUAAGAGAACAUCUAUAGGUCUAGUAUGAUUUUUGAACACAGCUAACCAUGUGAAGUGCAUUCUUCAUCAGUUAGAUUUCAGGUAUGGCAUAUACAUGAGUAUUACACAAAGUUACCAUUGAAAUCACAAGCCACCGAAUAUUCCAUCAGCUUGAAGUCAAAGGGUGCUGUUCUAGAGCUUCACCACAAGGUGGCAGGGUUGGCAAAGAUAAGGAAAAGCUUCAACAGCGAAUUCCUAACAUCCUAAGAGCCUGCCUGCUACAUCAAAGUUCCAACUGCAUACAUUUUAAGGACUUAACCCACAACACCCAAUGCAUGUAGGUGGGAUGAGACAGCAACAGAAAAAGCCUCCCAAAGGAGAGGCUGAAGCUGAGGAAAUCAAGGCUGUCAAAUCUGUUCAGUAGGAGUCAUUAAUCAAGUUUACCUAGACGAGCCUAGGAGAUGGCCAGAAACUACUGGAGGGCAAGAGAGGCCUAAAAUAGAAAUGGCAAAGCCAUAUACAAGGUUUGAGUGCACACACAC